CAAUAGCGUAUAUUAAAGUUGUUGCAGUUAAAAAGCUCGUAGUUGGAUUUGUGGUGUACUUCGGCGGCCCGUCACUAUGUGAUGGAGCUUGCUGAAGUCGCCAUCCUUGGGUGGAUCCUGUGUGGCAUUAAGUUGUCGUGCAGGGGAUGCUCAUCGUUUACUGUGAAAAAAUUAGAGUGUUCAAAGCAGGCUUACGCCGUUGAAUAUAUUAGCAUGGAAUAAUAAGAUAGGACCUUGGUACUAUUUUGUUGGUUUGCGCACCGAGGUAAUGAUUAACAGGGACAGUUGGGGGUAUUCGUAUUCCAUUGUCAGAGGUGAAAUUCUUGGAUUUCUGGAAGACGAACUACUGCGAAAGCAUUUACCAAGGAUGUUUUCAUUAA
This 380-nucleotide ribosomal RNA is filed under the name uncultured eukaryote. Its description in RNAcentral is "partial 18S ribosomal RNA". It matches the Rfam family "Eukaryotic small subunit ribosomal RNA", at positions 592 to 976 of the family's 1831-position model. The record is from RNAcentral.